CGUCAGGCCUGUGCAGAGGAGCUGGGGAUGUGGGGGUGCCAGGCGUGGGGCCCGUAUGGGGGUAUGGGCCUGCAGGUGUCCGGCCGGGGGCCUGCUGCAGGUUAAGGAUGCUGUCGAUGGCACUCUGCAAAUGCUCAGUUUCUCCUUGGCGAGCUGCUUAUCCAAGGCAAGGGUGGUCUUCUCCUCCUGAAUGAACAUUCGGUCGAUCAUAACCAUCUCUGCGGAAGGACUGACUCUCUGUGCUAAGAGACCGCACCACCCCGACAAGAACAGUUCACAGCAGGGGAGGGACCCCAGCAGCUUGAGACUCCUACCCUGGACUCUUCCAGAAGCAAAAGCCGAUAUUUAUUGAGCAUGGCCUGGAAUCCCUACUACAGUAGGCUUGGUUUCCCUAUCACACGACCACGUUUCCAUCAGACAAGCCUAGAAGAUCAGCCCUCUGGCACCAUGGGGCAGAUUUCCUGAUAUGUUUAUUUGCUGUGAUCUUGGAACCCACACAGUGAGUGCUUACAAACACUGUGGUGGGAGAAGAACAGGAGAACACCAUUUAUUUCUCCAAAACAGCUCAAAGGCCAGCCAUCUUGCUACCUAUUCAAUGAACAGAGGCCUAUAAAACGUCAAACUUGUGUGCACCUAACUCACAGGCCUGCCUGGACACGCCUGGAAUCUAUUCACACAUUCACUUUCUUCCCCACCACACCUGACAAGAACUGUAGAAUCAGUGACCCUGACAUUGAACUGUAGAAUCGGGGGGCCUGAUGUCAACAGCCUGCAAGGUCCCCUCACUGACUUCACUUCUAUCUUACCCUUGGCAGAAGGAAAACUGAGAUCAAAGGGGAAUCCACACACUGGUUGGAGCGGUGCUUUGAGGAGCGGUGGGAGUGGGGCAGAUAUGUUGGGGUAGGUAGCUGUACUCACCAGGCUUCUUUGCUGGGUUGCAGAAGGGGCUGUUUCUUCAGGCUACCCAACUUGCUGUCAUACUGUGGAAGGAGGAAAGACCAGUGACAGUGUUGCUAGGAAGAAGCCUCCUCAGCCUUCUCAGCCUACAUCCUCCCUCUAGCCAAGGACAUAGAUGGUAAAGGAAGCUGGCCCCAGCUACAGCGUCCCUGUCCAUCAAGAGAAACCUGGUGGGAAUGCCAGGUGUGAUGUUAUAUGCCUGCACCCUGGUUAGCCUUAAUUGUCAACCUCACAUUGCCUCGAGCCACCCAAGGGAAGCCUUCACUGAUGUCUGGCCUUUUGGGGAUUAUCUUGAUUAAUUGAGAGCCCAGCUUUUUGUGGAUGGCACCAUUCCUAGACAAGGUGGUCCUAAGCUUUGUAAGAAAGCUUACUGAUCAAACCAGUGAGCAGCAUUCCUCCAUGGUCUCUGCUUCAGUUCCGGCCCUGGCCUCCCUCAGUGACAGACUGAAUGUGUAAGCUAAAUAAACCCUUUCCUUCCCUA
Non-coding RNA from Rattus norvegicus (Norway rat), 1438 nucleotides. The record is from RefSeq and is a predicted model, not a curated record. NCBI's taxonomy places the organism in Eukaryota, Metazoa, Chordata, Mammalia, Rodentia, Muridae.